This 498-nucleotide ribosomal RNA is filed under the name uncultured bacterium. RNAcentral describes it as "partial 16S ribosomal RNA". It matches the Rfam family "Bacterial small subunit ribosomal RNA", at positions 30 to 523 of the family's 1533-position model. The record is from RNAcentral.
AUUGAACGCUGGCGGCAUGCCUUACACAUGCAAGUCGAACGGUAACAGGUCUUCGGAUGCUGACGAGUGGCGAACGGGUGAGUAAUACAUCGGAACGUGCCUAGUAGUGGGGGACAAAUACUCGAAAGAGUGGCUAAUACCGCAUGAGAUCUACGGAUGAAAGCAGGGGAUCGCAAGACCUUGUGCUACUAGAGCGGCCGAUGGAAGAUUAGGUAGUUGGUGGGAUAAAAGCUUACCAAGCCGACGAUCUGUAGCUGGUCUGAGAGGACGAUCAGCAACACUGGGACUGAGACACGGCCCAGACUCCUACGGGAGGCAGCAGUGGGGAAUUUUGGACAAUGGGCGAAAGCCUGAUCCAGCAAUGCCGCGUGCAGGAUGAAGGCCUUCGGGUUGUAAACUGCUUUUGUACGGAACGAAAAGCCCCGGGUUAAUACCCUGGGGUCAUGACGGUACCGUAAGAAUAAGCACCGGCUAACUACGUGCCAGCAGCCGCCGUAA